AUGCUGACUUUGACAGCACAUAUACUAAAACCAGACUGAUAAAGAGAUUAGCUUAGCCCCUGCACAAGGAUGACACGAAAUUUUUGUUUGUUUCUAGGGUUU
Molecule: small nuclear RNA, 102 nt
Filed under: Castor canadensis (American beaver)
Lineage: Eukaryota; Metazoa; Chordata; Mammalia; Rodentia; Castoridae
Source: RNAcentral